This 691-nucleotide ribosomal RNA is filed under the name Psychrobacter sp. B51. RNAcentral's name for it is "bacterial SSU rRNA". It matches the Rfam family "Bacterial small subunit ribosomal RNA", at positions 91 to 780 of the family's 1533-position model. The record is from RNAcentral. Lineage: Bacteria; Pseudomonadati; Pseudomonadota; Gammaproteobacteria; Moraxellales; Moraxellaceae.
UCGAGCGGCGGACGGGUGAGUAAUACUUAGGAAUCUACCUAGUAGUGGGGGAUAGCUCGGGGAAACUCGAAUUAAUACCGCAUACGACCUACGGGAGAAAGGGGGCAGUUUACUGCUCUCGCUAUUAGAUGAGCCUAAGUCGGAUUAGCUAGAUGGUGGGGUAAAGGCCUACCAUGGCGACGAUCUGUAGCUGGUCUGAGAGGAUGAUCAGCCACACCGGGACUGAGACACGGCCCGGACUCCUACGGGAGGCAGCAGUGGGGAAUAUUGGACAAUGGGGGAAACCCUGAUCCAGCCAUGCCGCGUGUGUGAAGAAGGCCUUUUGGUUGUAAAGCACUUUAAGCAGUGAAGAAGACUCCUCGGCUAAUACCCGUGGACGAUGACAUUAGCUGCAGAAUAAGCACCGGCUAACUCUGUGCCAGCAGCCGCGGUAAUACAGAGGGUGCAAGCGUUAAUCGGAAUUACUGGGCGUAAAGCGAGCGUAGGUGGCUUGAUAAGUCAGAUGUGAAAUCCCCGGGCUUAACCUGGGAACUGCAUCUGAAACUGUUAGGCUAGAGUAGGUGAGAGGAAGGUAGAAUUCCAGGUGUAGCGGUGAAAUGCGUAGAGAUCUGGAGGAAUACCGAUGGCGAAGGCAGCCUUCUGGCAUCAUACUGACACUGAGGCUCGAAAGCGUGGGUAGCAAACAGGAUUA